GGGCCCAUAGCUCAGCGGUAGAGCCGCCGGCUCAUAACCGGUCUGUCCCAGGUUCGAAUCCUGGUGGGCCCACCA
Molecule: transfer RNA, 75 nt
Filed under: Acidobacteriota bacterium
Lineage: Bacteria; Pseudomonadati; Acidobacteriota
Also listed under: 1 other name
Description: tRNA-Ile
Rfam family: tRNA
About the family: Transfer RNA (tRNA) molecules are approximately 80 nucleotides in length. Their secondary structure includes four short double-helical elements and three loops (D, anti-codon, and T loops).
Source: RNAcentral